UCAGAGAGUAGUUUAAGUAGUAAAAUACUGGCUUUGGGGGCCAGGGAUGGAAGACCCUCUUUGA
Molecule: transfer RNA, 64 nt
Filed under: Protobothrops xiangchengensis
Lineage: Eukaryota; Metazoa; Chordata; Lepidosauria; Squamata; Viperidae
Description: tRNA-Pro
Source: RNAcentral